Trifolium pratense (red clover) is the source of this 1018-nucleotide long non-coding RNA. RefSeq lists it as uncharacterized. The transcript is spliced from 8 exons. The record is from RefSeq and is a predicted model, not a curated record. NCBI's taxonomy places the organism in Eukaryota, Viridiplantae, Streptophyta, Magnoliopsida, Fabales, Fabaceae.
UCUGUACCCUGUACACAUUUCUCUCUUUCUUCUCACUUCUCAUUCUCCAUCUCUUCUUCUUCUCUCUCUUACGCCUUUCCAUAUUCAAAAUAUUCAAAUGACACAGAGAAAGCCAAGAACAGCGACGGGAGACGGUAGAAAGAAGAAGAUCCAUCUGAGAACCGAAGAAGAAUGCACAGGAGGAGGAAGAAGAAGAACUACACGGGUUAGUGAUGAGUGGAUCUUUUCUCUAAAAUCAUCUCUAUGAAAUCUGGACCAUAUGACAAUUGGAGUUUCUUCUUUGUUUUCACAUUCUUCAUCUAUUCACGCUAGCCGAAAUGGAGGCCAAAGAUCAAAGCUUCAUCUACAUCUUCAUUUUUGGAGACUUCUACUUCUACGAUGAUGGGACUAUUGCAUUGGUCUAAGAAAACAAAGAGAUAAUUACGCAGUUACACUCCAACUCUAACUUGUGAAUAGCAGUAGACUUCUACUUCUAUGACGAUGAGACUAUUGCAUUGGUUUAAGAAACAAAGAGAUACUUACACUCCAACUCUAAAUCCCACAAAAUCUGCCGAAAGUCUUGGUCUGAUUAAUGUGAAAAGGGAAGGGAACAAGUUUCUGCCGAUGAAAAGUUUCUCAUGAAGGCCAAAGAUUGAAGCUAGCCGAAAUGUUGCAAAGUAGCUCUAAGCUGGAGUUGAAAGAUCAAAAGGUGUCUCGAUUAUUUGAAACAGUUGCAAAACCUAAACAUAUGUGACAAAAGUGACAAGCAAGGAUAAGUUGAAUUGGUUUGGUCGUACUUGAGUGACAAGCAAGGAAAAAUUUAAUUGGCUUGGUUUUGAGGUAUACUACGUUUCUCAACACUGUUUCAUGAAAUGAAUUUUUUUAACUUAAUAGGAUAAACAUAAUGCAAGGUGUUAAUAUGUAAUGUAAAUAGAGAAAAAUCUUAGUUUAGUUGAUUUUGAUUGUCAGCUACUUACUUCUUUCCAUUUUUUUUUUACUACAAUGAAUUUGUAUGAAAUUUGGAUUUAUCCCUCUUUUA